RNAcentral lists this ribosomal RNA (468 nucleotides) under uncultured bacterium. RNAcentral's name for it is "partial 16S ribosomal RNA". It matches the Rfam family "Bacterial small subunit ribosomal RNA", at positions 28 to 507 of the family's 1533-position model. The record is from RNAcentral.
GACGAACGCUGGCGGCGUGCUUAACACAUGCAAGUCGAACGGAAAGGCCCUGCUUUUGUGGGGUGCUCGAGUGGCGAACGGGUGAGUAACACGUGAGUAACCUGCCCUUGACUUUGGGAUAACUUCAGGAAACUGGGGCUAAUACCGGAUAGGAGCUCCUGCUGCAUGGUGGGGGUUGGAAAGUUUCGGCGGUUGGGGAUGGACUCGCGGCUGAUCAGCUUGUUGGUGGGGUAGUGGCUUACCAAGGCAUUGACGGGUAGCCGGCCUGAGAGGGGGACCGGCCACAUUGGGACUGAGAGACGGCCCAGACUCCUACGGGAGGCAGCAGUGGGGAAUAUUGCACAAUGGGCGGAAGCCGGAUGCAGCAACGCCGCGUGCGGGAUGACGGCCUUCGGGUUGUAAACCGCUUUCGCCUGUGACGAAGCGGGAGUGACGGUAAUGGGUAAAGAAGCACCGGCUAACUACGUG